UACGAAGGGGGCUAGCGUUGCUCGGAAUCACUGGGCGUAAAGCGCACGUAGGCGGAUUGCUAAGUCAGGGGUGAAAUCCUGGAGCUCAACUCCAGAACUGCCUUUGAUACUGAGAAGCUUGAGUCCGGGAGAGGUGAGUGGAACUGCGAGUGUAGAGGUGAAAAUUCGUAGAUAUUCGCAAGAACACCAGUGGCGAAGGCGGCUCACUGGCCCGGUACUGACGCUGAGGUGCGAAAGCGUGGGGAGCAAACAGG
Molecule: ribosomal RNA, 254 nt
Filed under: uncultured bacterium
Lineage: Bacteria
Description: partial 16S ribosomal RNA
Rfam family: Bacterial small subunit ribosomal RNA
Source: RNAcentral